CUUGACCGAACCGAUCCACAGUGGAUCGUCCGGGUCGCGUUCCGCGCCGUAGGUCGAGAGCAGCGCGUGCACCUC
RNAcentral lists this antisense RNA (75 nucleotides) under Saccharopolyspora erythraea NRRL 2338. Its description in RNAcentral is "ASpks TB sRNA". It matches the Rfam family "ASpks TB sRNA". The record is from Rfam by way of RNAcentral. Lineage: Bacteria; Bacillati; Actinomycetota; Actinomycetes; Pseudonocardiales; Pseudonocardiaceae.